GGUAUGGAACCGGACUAUGUAUCGGACUAUCCAUAAUAUAUAUCUUGAUCUCAACUGGAAAUAUGAAAUGGCUUGAAAGAAUCUUUGAAGAGCUUGAACACAAAAUUAUGAUGGCAAGGAGAAAGAAGCAGCGAAGGCAAAGGAAUUACAUAAGAAGAAAUAAUCAAUUCUAGAACUUAGAGAUGUCAAGGAUAAGAAGACGUUGGCAUGUGGAGUUGGUUACUCCUAUUGUUCACUAUUAAGCUUAAUUUUGAGAGAUGUCUUCAUUUACAUUUGUUCUUCUUUAGUUUGUAUUAAUCUACUUACGCUUUAUUAACUUAAAUAUAUUUUUCAAGUUCAUAUGCUCAA
Molecule: RNA transcript, 348 nt
Organism: Capsicum annuum
Lineage: Eukaryota; Viridiplantae; Streptophyta; Magnoliopsida; Solanales; Solanaceae
Exons: 2
Source: RefSeq, a predicted model, not a curated record